Long non-coding RNA from Ictalurus punctatus (channel catfish), 862 nucleotides. The record is from Ensembl. Lineage: Eukaryota; Metazoa; Chordata; Actinopteri; Siluriformes; Ictaluridae.
UCAUCAUCAUCCAGAGAAAAGCAGAGCAACGCUGGCAACGAGACCGAGACCGACAAAUCCUUAGACUUCAGGAGCGACUAUCAAUCGUUCAGAACAGGAAGUCAGACGAGGACCUGCUGGGACUGAGACGCGAGGAAACAUUCAGACAGCUGACCAACACACUGCAGCAGGAAGAUGAGCAGCAGCAGAAGGUGUUGGUCAGAGAGAAACUGCAGCAGCUGUGGAGAGAGCGUUCUUAUAUUCUACAGUCCAGAAGAGAGAGGAAUACGGCUGAAUUUAAGGAACUCCUCACACCUACAACUCAGUGUCCGACGAAUUCAGAAGAUGUGCUCAACACACGUACACACACACACAUCAACACCACACACACACACCUACCUGACAUUCCCUGACAGCGUUGUCCUGUUUGUGUUAAAGGUGCAGUCUGGUUAUUUAAAAGUUCUUCUAAACCUGUAAUAAUCAGCCACUUUUACAGAAACUGGAAUUCACAGCACUGACAUGCGUCGAAACAUCUCACACUUCUGUUCACGUUUUUCUGGUCCUGCAGUAAACUCUACACCUGCGGCCUGAAUAUAACCCGAGAUAAACUAGACAUAAAACUAAAAUCCUGAUCUUCCGUACAGAUGAUCAGGAAGUCAGUGGAUCGUUAAAGUUCCCUUCUAAUUAUUUGUGCUCCACAGAAUUCUCCAGCAACGGUGAAGUCUUCACUACGAACACUAAAGGGUUAACGUUGAUGCGUCAGAUUUAUAUCACUUUGCUCGCAGCUGAUUGGUCCAAUUUGGGUUUGUGAUCUCUUACCCAGAAUAAAAACCCGCUCCGGAGCAGGUUAGCCAUGUAGUGCAAGUUACCACGGUGAUGAAAC